UACGUAGGGUGCGAGCGUUAAUCGGAAUUACUGGGCGUAAAGCGUGCGUAGGCGGUUCGUUAAGUUCGUUGUGAAAGCCCCGGGCUCAACCUGGGAAUGGCAAUGGAAACUGGCGGGCUGGAGUAUGGCAGAGGGGGGUGGAAUUCCGCGUGUAGCAGUGAAAUGCGUAGAGAUGCGGAGGAACACCGAUGGCGAAGGCAGCCCCCUGGGCCAAUACUGACGCUGAGACGCGAAAGCGUGGGGAGCAAACAGG
Molecule: ribosomal RNA, 253 nt
Filed under: uncultured bacterium
Lineage: Bacteria
Description: partial 16S ribosomal RNA
Rfam family: Bacterial small subunit ribosomal RNA
Source: RNAcentral